This 2276-nucleotide small RNA is filed under the name Rattus norvegicus (Norway rat). RNAcentral's name for it is "uncharacterized LOC108352384". Lineage: Eukaryota; Metazoa; Chordata; Mammalia; Rodentia; Muridae. The record is from RNAcentral.
UUUCGUCCUCCCUGCUCCCUCCUCCCCACUCGGGCCGCCACGCCUGCACGCGCACGCGCACACUUAGACCGCCGCGCCCCUCUGCGAGCCCAUCCCCUCCCGGUGGCGCUGCACGCGUCGCCUCUGCCCCCUGCCAGUCGGUCCCACACGCCCCUGGAUGCCGAGGGAGGGCGGCGAGGACAGUCAGUACACGUCCCUCAUGCCCUCGGCUACAGCCCGGCCUUCUGCAACCUUUAGGCACCGGGUCUAGCCUCACUCCUGGCACUCCCUCCCCGUCGCGCCUUGGCGUCCUGCGGGGCAUACACUCGCCCCGUGGUCCUGGAGCGACUGGGUGGUAGCCCGCGGUGACCUGAGGCUUCGCGGGUUCUUCCCCAGCGCCAGCCGACCGGGUCUAGUCCUGGUUGCGGGGCGCUGGGCAGCCAGGGUGUCUGCCUGCUGAAGUCCCAGAGCAGCUCGCUGCUGACUCCGAUAGCAUCCGUCCCGCAGCCUUGCCGUAGGACCACUUUCCCCAGAGGGCCCUACCCACUUCGUUCAUCGAUAAGAAAAUGCUCCCGCACGCAGCCUUGCAGAUAAACCAGUCUGAUGGACGGUCUGAUGGACAGUCUGAUGGAGGCCUUAUCUCUGUGGAGGACCCUCUUCCUGAAGGAUGGAUGACCUGAGCUUGUAUCAAGUUGACAGAAACUGAACAGCACAGACCUUUCUCUUAUAGCAGCUCGAAGGUUUCCAACCACAGGCCAUCCUCCUCCGAGCCUCCUUCUAGGCUGCUGUGAAGAGAUUGCUCUCUAACGACGGUUCAAAAUGAAUCUCCUCCGGAGCCUCCAGGGCCCUGCUGACCGGAUUUAUUUAUUGCUUUAUCUCUGCAAGUGUGCCAUUCCUUUCUUCCUGACCUUGUACCACCUCCCCAUUCUGUUCCGUUGCCUUGAUUGCUUGACUCUGGUCAGAUCUUUGUCAAGUUUAGUUACUGCCUGAAGUCUUUAUCUAGUUCACUAUCUGUCGCCAUCAUCGUCAUCGUCAUCAUCAUCGUCAUCGUCGUUGUCACCCGCAUCAUCGCCGUCACCAUCGUCAUCAUCAGGACUGGAGGUUGAACCUAAGGUCUCAGUUAUGCUAGACAAGUGCUCACCAUACAGCCCUGCUUGUACCUUCCAUUUGGAGACAGGCUGUCUCUAAAGGCCAAGGCAGCCCCUCAGGCUUACAGAUCCUCCUGAUUUAGCCUCCAAAGUAGCUGGGAGUACAGAACUGUGUCACUGUGCCCAGCUUCCUCAGCAAAGUCAUAACUUUCUGUCCCUAUAGGUGGCCCCCUCUGGCAGUUGAGUAGGUGGUAUUUAUUCCCAGCACCUGGCAUUGGAUUGGAUUGGAUGGGGGAGGCACACGACGAACACAUCAAAAUGUUCAUGACUAUGUUGGAGAGGUUGCUCAUGGGUAGAUGUAGAGAGAGCUGAAUUUGAUCCCCAAAACAAGCACACGUAUCCUCUCCCCCAUCCCCUCACACACACACACACACAGAUGGCCGAGUAUUCAGAGUGUAUGGAAAGACAAAACAUCUGAUUUUUAGAUUUCCAAUCCCCAGAAUGAGCACAUCCUUUGAAGCCGGUUGAGAUCUUGUGGUAUCUUGUCCUAAGAGACUCCACAUGGUAUAAAAACAGUGGUUUUGCAAGCUGUCCCUUGGCCCCACGAGCGGCUCAUUGUACAAGCAAGUUGUAACUCCAUUUUGAGGGAGGAGGAUGAUUCUGCACCGGGUAAGCAAGUGUAUUUAUCAGGGUGAGUCGGGACUGUGAGACCACAUGGGUUAUGGCAACUUGAAUGGGAAUGGCCCCAUAGGCUUGUAUAUUUGAGUGUUUGAUUCCCAGUUGGUGGACUAUUUAGGAAGGAUUAAAAGGUGUGGCCUUGUUGGAGUGGGUGUUGGAGAAGGUGCUCUAUUGGGGGUGGGUUUGUUUGUUUGUUUUGAGUGUUAUGUGUUGUGUUGUGUUAUUUUGGUUUUUUUUUUAAGGCUUUAAAAGUCCACACCAGGGGUUGGGCAUUUGGCUCAGUCCUAGCAAGCGCAAGGCCCUGGGUUUGAUCCCCAGCUCCGAAAAAAAAAAAAAAAAAGAAUAGAAAAAAAAAAAAAAGUCCACACCAGGAUCAGUCUCAAACUCUCAAUUUCAGGUCAAAUGGAGCUCUCAGCUACUGCUCCAGCACCAUGCUCCCAAUCAUAAUGAUUAUGGAUUAUGGAUUUUUUUUAAAGAUUUAUUUAUUGUAUGCAUGUGAGUACACUGUCACUAUCUUCAGACACACCAGAA